This 84-nucleotide transfer RNA is filed under the name Caudoviricetes sp. Its description in RNAcentral is "tRNA-Lys". It matches the Rfam family "tRNA". Rfam says of the family: Transfer RNA (tRNA) molecules are approximately 80 nucleotides in length. Lineage: Duplodnaviria; Heunggongvirae; Uroviricota; Caudoviricetes. The record is from RNAcentral.
UCUGGUGUAGCUCAGUUGGUAGAGCGUAUGAUUUUUUUUUGAAGGUUUAUCAUAAUGUCGGCGGUUCGAGUCCGUCCACCGGAG